CGGAGGGUGCAAGCGUUAUCCGGAUUUACUGGGUUUAAAGGGUGCGUAGGUGGGUCUGUAAGUCAGUGGUGAAAUCUCCGAGCUUAACUCGGAAACUGCCAUUGAUACUAUAGGUCUUGAAUUAUCUGGAGGUAAGCGGAAUAUGUCAUGUAGCGGUGAAAUGCUUAGAUAUGACAUAGAACACCAAUUGCGAAGGCAGCUUACUACGGAUUGAUUGACACUGAGGCACGAAAGCGUGGGGAUCAAACAGGAUUAGAUACCCUGGUAGUCCACGCCCUAAACGAUGGAUACUCGACAUUUGCGAUAUACUGUAAGUGUCUGAGCGAAAGCAUUAAGUAUCCCACCUGGGAAGUACGAUCGCAAGAUUG
Molecule: ribosomal RNA, 368 nt
Filed under: uncultured organism
Description: bacterial SSU rRNA
Rfam family: Bacterial small subunit ribosomal RNA
Source: RNAcentral